RNAcentral lists this unclassified non-coding RNA (272 nucleotides) under Hevea brasiliensis (rubber tree). Lineage: Eukaryota; Viridiplantae; Streptophyta; Magnoliopsida; Malpighiales; Euphorbiaceae. The record is from RNAcentral.
UUUUGGCAUUAAUUCAGCACUAAACCCUGGAAGCAUUGAAAAUACCUACACAAAAUACCUAGUGCAUAUUCAGCAGAAAGCUUGUAGGUCACCAAUUACUACUAAUAUUAUUGUCAAUAAUUUUUUCUAUUACACAAACUAUUUGCAAUAUUACCGCAAACAAAACAAGCCCUAGGUUCAAUCUAACAGAGCAGAAAGAUUCAAAGAUGAGAACCUGGCCAAUAGGACCCAUUUUCAGUAUGUUCUGAAACUGCUCAUACAUAAUCCUCAAG